Molecule: ribosomal RNA, 835 nt
Filed under: uncultured organism
Description: SSU rRNA
Rfam family: Bacterial small subunit ribosomal RNA
Source: RNAcentral
AGCUACAGGCUUAACACAUGCAAGUCGAGGGGCAGCAUCAUCAAAGCUUGCUUUGAUGGAUGGCGACCGGCGCACGGGUGAGUAACACGUAUCCAACCUGCCGACAACACUGGGAUAGCCUUUCGAAAGAAAGAUUAAUACCGGAUGGCAUAGUUUUCCCGCAUGGGAUAAUUAUUAAAGAAUUUCGGUUGUCGAUGGGGAUGCGUUCCAUUAGGCAGUUGGCGGGGUAACGGCCCACCAAACCAACGAUGGAUAGGGGUUCUGAGAGGAAGGUCCCCCACAUUGGAACUGAGACACGGUCCAAACUCCUACGGGAGGCAGCAGUGAGGAAUAUUGGUCAAUGGACGAGAGUCUGAACCAGCCAAGUAGCGUGAAGGAUGACUGCCCUAUGGGUUGUAAACUUCUUUUAUACGGGAAUAAAGUGAGCCACGUGUGGCUUUUUGUAUGUACCGUAUGAAUAAGGAUCGGCUAACUCCGUGCCAGCAGCCGCGGUAAUACGGAGGAUCCGAGCGUUAUCCGGAUUUAUUGGGUUUAAAGGGAGCGUAGGCGGGUUGUUAAGUCAGUUGUGAAAGUUUGCGGCUCAACCGUAAAAUUGCAGUUGAUACUGGCGACCUUGAGUGCAACAGAGGUAGGCGGAAUUCGUGGUGUAGCGGUGAAAUGCUUAGAUAUCACGAAGAACUCCGAUUGCGAAGGCAGCUUACUGGAUUGUAACUGACGCUGAUGCUCGAAAGUGUGGGUAUCAAACAGGAUUAGAUACCCUGGUAGUCCACACAGUAAACGAUGAAUACUCGCUGUUGGCGAUAUACAGUCAGCGGCCAAGCGAAAGCAUUAAGUA